RNAcentral lists this long non-coding RNA (777 nucleotides) under Ananas comosus (pineapple). Its description in RNAcentral is "long non-coding RNA (ACOM_LNC011410)". The record is from RNAcentral. Lineage: Eukaryota; Viridiplantae; Streptophyta; Magnoliopsida; Poales; Bromeliaceae.
AAUAACUCUUUAUCCCCAUUUUAUAUCCAAACGUUAAUUUUUUAUUCAAAAAUAGUAUUUCUCAGUUAUCUAUAAUAAUCGAGUAUAACUAUUCCGACCAACACCUUCAUUUUCUAUAUAUAACUAUCCAUUAUUUUUCUAUUCUAUAUUAUUUAUCCAAACGUUAUUUUUUUUAUCCCCGGGAACAACCCAAUUUUUAUCCAAACGCUAUUUUUCUUAUUCCCAUAUUUCUACCUAUUCAUGUAAUAACUAGUUCUUGUUUAUAUCCGAACCAAACGCUAGUCAUUUUUAACAAUAAAGCUUUUGAAUAGACGAUCUGUUUCGUUAGACUUAAUUUAUCAUAUUUAAAAUAUCUAAAAAAUAAAUUUUAUAAUUUUUCUAUAUUAUUUACCUAACAAUCGAAAUGAUUCAAAAUCAAUAAUUUUUAAUAGUUUAUAUUUAUUGUUUGCAAAUUUAACAGUGUAUAAGUAUUCAAAUCAGAUAAAAUUUUGAUAGAAAAUUCUUUAUACUAUUUAUUGUAAGAUCAAUAUCUCUUAUCCAAAAUUUUAGUGUUAUAUCACCACUUUUCGGGAGAUUUUUAUUUUCGCGAGAUUUUUAUUCAAUCGCUAUGUAAAUGAUAUCGAAAAAUUGUAAAAUUUAUUUUCUAAAUACUGCAAAUAUGGUAAAUCAAGUCUAAUAGAGCUGAUCGUCGAUUCAGAAGCUCCAUCAUUAAAAACGGCUUAGGAACACGAUACAACAGACAAGACCUAUAUAUACUUGUAAUAUCAAAUUAGCUAU